UGCGUAGGCGGACUAAUAAGUCAGUGGUGAAAUCUCAUAGCUUAACUAUGAAACUGCCAUUGAUACUGCAGGUCUUGAGUAAGGUAGAAGUAGCUGGAAUAAGUAGUGUAGCGGUGAAAUGCAUAGAUAUUACUUAGAACACCAAUUGCGAAGGCAGGUUACUAUGUCUUAACUGACGCUGAUGGACGAAAGCGUGGGGAGCGAACAGGAUUAGAUACCCUGGUAGUCC
RNAcentral lists this ribosomal RNA (229 nucleotides) under uncultured bacterium. RNAcentral describes it as "partial 16S ribosomal RNA". It matches the Rfam family "Bacterial small subunit ribosomal RNA", at positions 568 to 796 of the family's 1533-position model. The record is from RNAcentral.